GACGAACGCUGGCGGCGUGCCUAAUACAUGCAAGUCGAGCGCAGGAAGUCAUCCGAACCCUUCGGGGGGACGUUGACGGAAUGAGCGGCGGACGGGUGAGUAACACGUAAAGAACCUGCCCUCAGGUCUGGGAUAACCACGAGAAAUCGGGGCUAAUACCGGAUGGGUCAUCGGACCGCAUGGUCCGAGGAUGACAGGCGCUCCGGCGUCGCCUGGGGAUGGCUUUGCGGUGCAUUAGCUAGUUGGUGGGGUAAUGGCCCACCAAGGCGACGAUGCAUAGCCGACCUGAGAGGGUGAUCGGCCACACUGGGACUGAGACACGGCCCAGACUCCUACGGGAGGCAGCAGUAGGGAAUCUUCCACAAUGGACGAAAGUCUGAUGGAGCAACGCCGCGUGAACGAUGAAGGCCCUCGGGUCGUAAAGUUCUGUUGUAAGGGAAGAACAAGUGCCGCAGGCAAUGGCGGCACCUUGACGGUACCUUGCGAGAAAGCCACGGCUAACUACGUG
RNAcentral lists this ribosomal RNA (508 nucleotides) under uncultured bacterium. RNAcentral's name for it is "partial 16S ribosomal RNA". It matches the Rfam family "Bacterial small subunit ribosomal RNA", at positions 28 to 507 of the family's 1533-position model. The record is from RNAcentral.